This 893-nucleotide ribosomal RNA is filed under the name Aureobasidium pullulans. RNAcentral's name for it is "partial large subunit ribosomal RNA". Lineage: Eukaryota; Fungi; Ascomycota; Dothideomycetes; Dothideales; Saccotheciaceae. The record is from RNAcentral.
AAGCGGAGGAAUAGAAACCAACAGGGAUUGCCCUAGUAACGGCGAGUGAAGCGGCAACAGCUCAAAUUUGAAAGCUAGCCUUCGGGUUCGCAUUGUAAUUUGUAGAGGAUGAUUUGGGGAAGCCGCCUGUCUAAGUUCCUUGGAACAGGACGUCAUAGAGGGUGAGAAUCCCGUAUGUGACAGGAAAUGGCACCCUAUGUAAAUCUCCUUCGACGAGUCGAGUUGUUUGGGAAUGCAGCUCUAAAUGGGAGGUAAAUUUCUUCUAAAGCUAAAUAUUGGCGAGAGACCGAUAGCGCACAAGUAGAGUGAUCGAAAGAUGAAAAGCACUUUGGAAAGAGAGUUAAAAAGCACGUGAAAUUGUUGAAAGGGAAGCGCUUGCAAUCAGACUUGUUUAAACUGUUCGGCCGGUCUUCUGACCGGUUUACUCAGUUUGGACAGGCCAGCAUCAGUUUCGGCGGCCGGAUAAAGGCUCUGGGAAUGUGGCCUCCACUUCGGUGGAGGUGUUAUAGCCCAGGGUGUAAUACGGCCAGCCGGGACUGAGGUCCGCGCUUCGGCUAGGAUGCUGGCGUAAUGGUUGUAAGCGACCCGUCUUGAAACACGGACCAAGGAGUCUAACAUCUAUGCGAGUGUUCGGGUGUCAAACCCCUGCGCGUAAUGAAAGUGAACGGAGGUGGGAACCCGCARGGGUGCACCAUCGACCGAUCCUGAUGUCUUCGGAUGGAUUUGAGUAAGAGCAUAGCUGUUGGGACCCGAAAGAUGGUGAACUAUGCCUGAAUAGGGUGAAGCCAGAGGAAACUCUGGUGGAGGCUCGCAGCGGUUCUGACGUGCAAAUCGAUCGUCAAAUUUGGGUAUAGGGGCGAAAGACUAAUCGAACCAUCUAGUAGCUGGUUCCU